This 443-nucleotide ribosomal RNA is filed under the name uncultured bacterium. RNAcentral describes it as "partial 16S ribosomal RNA". It matches the Rfam family "Bacterial small subunit ribosomal RNA", at positions 338 to 795 of the family's 1533-position model. The record is from RNAcentral.
CCUACGGGAGGCAGCAGUGGGGAAUAUUGGGCAAUGGAGGAAACUCUGACCCAGCAACGCCGCGUGAAUGAUGAAGGUCUUCGGAUUGUAAAGCUCUUUUCGCAGGGAAGAAGAAAGUGACGGUACCUUAGGAAUAAGCCUCUGCUAACUACGUGCCAGCAGCCGCGGUAAUACGUAGGAGGCGAGCGUUAUCCGGAAUGACUGGGCGUAAAGGGUGCGUAGGUGGUUUGGCAAGGUAGUAGCGUAACUCCAAGGCUCAACCUCGGAACUACUACUAAAACUGGUGGACUUGAGUGCAGGAGAGGUAAGCGGAAUGCCUGGUGUAGCGGUGGAAUGCGUAGAUAUUAGGAGGAACACCAGUGGCGAAGGCGGGUUACUGGACUGUAACUGACGCUGAGGCACGAAAGCGUGGGGAGCAAACAGGAUUAGAUACCCUGGUAGUC